AACGCACCUUGCGCCUUUGGGUAUUCCGAAAGGCAUGCCUGUUUGAGUGUCAUGAAAUCUCAAUCCCCUCGGGUCCCUUGACCUGGAGUGGACUUGGACCUGGGCAUCUGCCGUCUGUCGGCUUGCCUCAAAUGACAUGGUGGGAUCAGCAUCCACGGCCUGACGUGAUAAGUUUCGUCUGGCAUGGUGUGAGGCCCGCUCAUAACCUGCCCCUUGUGGUGCUCUUUUGGACUCUGACCUCAAAUCAGGUAGGACUACCCGCUGAACUUAA
Molecule: unclassified non-coding RNA, 271 nt
Filed under: uncultured Tremellales
Lineage: Eukaryota; Fungi; Basidiomycota; Tremellomycetes; Tremellales
Description: sequence contains ITS2
Source: RNAcentral